RNAcentral lists this ribosomal RNA (253 nucleotides) under uncultured bacterium. RNAcentral's name for it is "partial 16S ribosomal RNA". It matches the Rfam family "Bacterial small subunit ribosomal RNA", at positions 524 to 776 of the family's 1533-position model. The record is from RNAcentral.
UACGGAGGGGGCAAGCGUUAUUCGGAAUCACUGGGCGUAAAGGGCGCGUAGGCGGCCGAUCAAGUCGGGGGUGAAAGCCUGUGGCUCAACCACAGAAUUGCCUUCGAUACUGUUUGGCUUGAGUCCGGAAGAGGUAAGUGGAACUGCGAGUGUAGAGGUGAAAUUCGUAGAUAUUCGCAAGAACACCAGUGGCGAAGGCGGCUUACUGGUCCGGUUCUGACGCUGAGGCGCGAAAGCGUGGGGAGCAAACAGG